CAUUCCGCGACAGACGUGGUCGGCGUCUUCCCUGGGGGCGACGCUCCUUUUCCUCAGGGAGGAGCGGGCGGCGCCAUGGCGGCUUCGGGACCGCGUGGCCCUCGUUCCUGCAGGAGGAGGACGCUCCUCGCUCGCUGUCUGAGAUCCAAGUCACUUUCUGACACUGAGAGUAAACAAGGGGAAACGCCUUAUAGCCAUUUGAAUAUGUUCAGCCAUGAAGUGAAACAGACUCACUGAAUUCUGAGUCCUGAGAGACAGUGACCCAGACACAGCCCUACCAUGAUUGCCUGACUUACCGACUUCCUUAUUGACUUGAACGGAAGUCCUGAAGAUCGAACCCUGGACCUCGCGCGUGCUGGGCAGGCACUCUGCCGCUGAGUUCUACGCUCCAUCCUCCCCCUCGCCCCCUCCCCCAUUUGGGGGAGGAAAAAAAUAAAUUUUUCUUUUCUUUUAAACUGAAAACGUCCGUUUGGAUCUCCUGCGUGUGUUUCAUCCCUGGUUUUCUGGCUUCUAGGAGGUGGAGUUGACCGAGUUCUUGGACUGUUGAGGAGAGGAACCCCUGAUGGGCUGCGGUUGUGCUUUUUCUACGAUUUUGGGCGUCUUUGUCUUUCGAAGAGGGCGGUGUUCUGUCGGAGUUCCGCAGGUGGUCUGAUUGGCCGAGUGGGUCCGUCGAUGUGAGUUUUGGUGUAUUUGUGGGAGAGGGUGAGCUACGAGCGUCCUUCUACUCCGCCGUCUUGCUUCUUCUCGGGUUAUUUUUGAAGAGUAGGUGCUGGGGAUUGAACCCUGGACCUUUAUUUUUUGCAUGCUAAGCAUGGGCUGUACUGCCUGAUCUCUAGACCCUCCCCACCGCAACCCCCCCUUUCCCACCGCCUCCAUAGUACUCGAUGAAUCUCCUACCUAGAUAUCUAUGCUUCCUUGGAAUAGGGCCGUCGUUUUCUUCAUCGGAUUGAUGCACGUCUGUGGAUUCGUCUCGUUUCUCUCCACUGCGGAACCCUCGUCCCGAGGGACUGAAUCUAGUGCCCUGUGCUGCGCGGUACGACCUAGGGGUCGAAUCUGCCAGGAGAGGACUUACAAGGAUUUGGAGGAUCCUGGAAAACUGCUACCAUCCAGAAUCCUACAUGGAUGUUCAAGAUCUUGUGGAUGGACGGACGGACGGACGGAAGACGGAUCGAAUGGAGGCCCCGCCCCAUCCCCUGGACCCCUAGGCCCAGGAGGAUCGUGAUGGGUCUGGAAAGGACUCUUCCGACGAGGGUCUCGGGAUGGACUUUCUCGGUCCGCGGAAGGUGUUUCUGCACAAAGAGGAAGAGAGGGGCGUUCUCGGCCAGAGAGCCCGAACCGCCUCCUUUCAGGGAUCCGCUCCAGUCAGGGUUGGGGUCGGGGUCAGAACGCAGCCACCGACAGCUCCCCUCCCUCGUCUUGGCUCUCCAACUUGGGAAACCCCUCCUCCCUGCCCCCUCACCCAUCUUCUCGUCAGCCGGCCUCCAGCUUCCCCGUGCCAACCCACCUCUCUCAUGCUGCCGGACUUUCCUCCUCCUUGGGCUGCCAGGAAGCUCUCCCGCUCCUCCACGUGCUUUGGCUUGGAAUCCCUGACAAACACAAGCGGUGCUGGUGGGCGGGGCCGCGGGCCGUGGCAGAAGGACUCCCUUCAUCUUAUGGGAGCGAUUUUUAUCUCCAUAGAGGUGGCGAUUGAGAAAACACAUAAAAUCACUCAGAAGAAUACCCAUGUGUAGUGUCCCUGACCUAGAUCCGUGUCUGUCUGUCUGUCUGUCUGUCUCUCUCUCUCUCUCUGCCUCUCUCUCCAUUUCGCUAUUCUGUGUGUGUGUGUGUGUGUGCGUGCGCGCUGCGCGCGCAUGCGUGUCUGUCUGUCUCCCUUGUCUCUCUUUCCUCUCCUCUCCCCUCCUCUCCUCUUCCCUGUUCUCCCCCCUUCCCCCUCACCCCUCCACUCCUCUCUUCUCCCCUCCACUCCUCUCCUCUCCCUCUUCUCCUCUCCCCUCGCCUCUUCUCAUUUCCCCUCCCCUCCCCUCUUUUCCCUCCUCUCCUUUCCUGUCCUCUCCCCUUUUAUCCCUCCUCUCCUCUGCUCUCUCUCUCUCUCUCUCUCUCUCUCUCUCUCUCUCUCUCUCUCCCCCCUUCACUUCCCUCCCUCCUCCCUACCCCCCAACCCCUACCUUCACAGGGCCUCAUAGAUUGCAAUCGGUUUCCAUGAAAUGUGAUGAAGAGGGAAUGAAUUUUAGAAUGAUAUCCCCAUGCCAUUGAAUCCUUCUUCCCCAGGGAUAGCGACUUAUUUGUGGUCGUGUUUGUUUUUGUUUUUCUUGUUGUUGUUUUGGGGCGCAUCGAGGGCGCAGGAGGCGUUGGGAGUGAGGGUGAUGUUUCUCUUUCUGUCUGUCUCCUCCUUAGGAAGGAUUUUAAGAGGAGGGAGGACCCACAGAAAUCUACCAUCUUGUCUCGUACUGCAGCUGUGUUUGAGCUUCCUAUACGAUCUGGGCGGAACACUCCCCACCCUCACCUCAAGCCGCCAUUGCCGCCCCCCUCAGCCCCCCUGCACCCCCGUCCAGUCCCACACUUGGGGCGGUGGUUGGGCAUAGGGGGAUGUUGGCGGGGUGGUGGUUGGUGGGGGGUGGGGUGGUGGAGGAAACCAGAAAACAGACCACUGUGGCACGUGGGUGACUGGGGCUUCAGGGUGAAGGAGGAUGAAUAAAAUGGCCGGAAUUAGGCUAA
This is a long non-coding RNA of Camelus dromedarius (Arabian camel), 2715 nucleotides long. RefSeq lists it as uncharacterized. The transcript has 6 exons. The record is from RefSeq and is a predicted model, not a curated record. Lineage: Eukaryota; Metazoa; Chordata; Mammalia; Artiodactyla; Camelidae.